AGAGUUUGAUCAUGGCUCAGAACGAACGCUGGCGGCGUGGAUAAGACAUGCAAGUCGGACGAGAUUUCGUCCUGUAGCAAUAUGGGAUGAAGUCUAGUGGCGAACGGGUGCUUAACACGUGGGCAACCUGCCGAGAAGUGGGGGAUAGCUCGCCGAAAGGCGAAUUAAUACCGCAUGUGAUCAGAGAGGACAUCCUUUCGAAAUUAAAGCUGGGGCAACCUAGCGCUUCUUGUGGGGCCCGCGGCCUAUCAGCUAGUUGGUGAGGUAACGGCUCACCAAGGCUUUGACGGGUAGCUGGUCUGAGAGGACGACCAGCCACACUGGGACUGAGACACAGCCCAGACACCUACGGGUGGCAGCAGUCGAGAAUUUUUCUCAAUGGGGGAAACCCUGAAGGAGCGACGCCGCGUGGAGGAUGAAGGUCUUCGGAUUGUAAACUCCUGUCAUUGGGGAACAAGGUGCAUACGUUAACUGCGUGUGCAUUGAUAGUACCCGAAGAGGAAGAGACGGCUAACUCUGUGCCAGCAGCCGCGGUAAUACAGAGGUCUCAAGCGUUGUUCGGAUUCAUUGGGCGUAAAGGGUGCGUAGGCGGCGCGGUAAGUCGGGUGUGAAAUCUUGGAGCUUAACUCCGAAACUGCAUUCGAUACUGCCGUGCUUGAGGACUGGAGAGGAGACUGGAAUUUACGGUGUAGCGGUGAAAUGCGUAGAUAUCGUAAGGAAGACCAGUGGCGAAGGCGGGUCUCUGGACAGUUCCUGACGCUGAGGCACGAAGGCCAGGGGAGCAAACGGGAUUAGAUACCCCGGUAGUCC
RNAcentral lists this ribosomal RNA (810 nucleotides) under uncultured bacterium. Its description in RNAcentral is "bacterial SSU rRNA". It matches the Rfam family "Bacterial small subunit ribosomal RNA", at positions 8 to 796 of the family's 1533-position model. The record is from RNAcentral.